This 1384-nucleotide ribosomal RNA is filed under the name uncultured bacterium. RNAcentral describes it as "partial 16S ribosomal RNA". It matches the Rfam family "Bacterial small subunit ribosomal RNA". The record is from RNAcentral.
AGAGUUUGAUCCUGGCUCAGGAUGAACGCUGGCGGCAUGCCUAACACAUGCAAGUCGAACGGACAAGAGAGCUUCGGUUUUCUUGUUAGUGGCGGACGGGUGAGUAACGCGUGAGGAACCUGCCUUUCAGAGGGGGAUAACGUUUGGAAACGAACGCUAAUACCGCAUAAUGUUACGGGACUGCAUGGUCUUGUAACCAAAGGAGCAAUCCGCUGAUAGAUGGCCUCGCGUCUGAUUAGAUAGUUGGUGAGGUAACGGCCCACCAAGUCGACGAUCAGUAGCCGGACUGAGAGGUUGAACGGCCACAUUGGGACUGAGACACGGCCCAGACUCCUACGGGAGGCAGCAGUGAGGGAUAUUGCACAAUGGGGGAAACCCUGAUGCAGCAAUGCCGCGUGAAGGAUGACGGUUUUCGGAUUGUAAACUUCUGUUCCAGAUCAUGAAAAAAAUGACUAAUCUGGCAGCAAGCCACGGCUAACUACGUGCCAGCAGCCGCGGUAAUACGUAGGUGGCGAGCGUUAUCCGGAUUUACUGGGUGUAAAGGGUGCGUAGGCGGGAUAGCAAGUUGGAUGUGAAAUACCGAGGCUCAACUUCGGAGCUGCAUCCAAAACUGUUAUUCUUGAGUGGAGUAGAGGUAAGCGGAAUUCCGAGUGUAGCGGUGAAAUGCGUAGAUAUUCGGAGGAACACCGGUGGCGAAGGCGGCUUACUGGGCUCUAACUGACGCUGAGGCACGAAAGUAUGGGUAGCAAACAAGAUUAGAUACCCUGGUAGUCCACGCAGUAAACGAUGAGCGCCAGCUUUCCGGGCCCGAUUGGGGGGCAGGGUGGCUCAGGGAAAAGCGUUAAGUGCUCCACAUGGGAGAGUACGCCGGCAGAGGUGAAAUUCAAAGGAAUUGAGGGGGGCCCGCACAAGCGGAGGGAACAUGUGGUUUAAUUCGAUGAUACGGGAGGAACCUUUACCCGGGCUCAAACGGGACAGGGAAAGUUUUUGAAAGGAGGCUGUCCGCAAGGACCGGUCCCGAGGUGCUGCAUGGUUGUCGUCAGCUCGUGCCGUGAGGUGUCGGCUUAAGUGCCAUAACGAGCGCAACCCCCACCGACAGUUGCCAGCAGGCAAAGCUGGGGACUCUGUCGGGACUGCCGGCGCAAGCUGCGAGGAAGGCGGGGAUGACGUCAAAUCAGCACGGCCCUUACGUCCGGGGCGACACACGUGUUACAAUGGCAGGCACAGAGAGAAGCCACCCCGCAAGGGGGAGCGGAACUUGAAAUCCUGUCUCAGUUCGGAUCGGAGUCUGCAACCCGACACCGUGAAGCUGGAUUCGCUAGUAAUCGCGCAUCAGCCAUGGCGCGGUGAAUACGUUCCCGGGCCUUGCACACACCGCCCGUCA